This 73-nucleotide transfer RNA is filed under the name Bos taurus (domestic cattle). It matches the Rfam family "tRNA". From Rfam's summary of the family: Transfer RNA (tRNA) molecules are approximately 80 nucleotides in length. Their secondary structure includes four short double-helical elements and three loops (D, anti-codon, and T loops). Further hydrogen bonds mediate the characteristic L-shaped molecular structure. tRNAs have two regions of fundamental functional importance: the anti-codon, which is responsible for specific mRNA codon recognition, and the 3' end, to which the tRNAs corresponding amino acid is attached (by aminoacyl-tRNA synthetases). tRNAs cope with the degeneracy of the genetic code in two manners: having more than one tRNA (with a specific anti-codon) for a particular amino acid; and 'wobble' base-pairing, i.e. permitting non-standard base-pairing at the 3rd anti-codon position. The record is from Rfam by way of RNAcentral. RNAcentral also lists the same sequence under 3 other names. Lineage: Eukaryota; Metazoa; Chordata; Mammalia; Artiodactyla; Bovidae.
UCCCUGGUGGUCAAGUGGUUAAGACUCUGAGCUCCCAAUACAGGGGACACAGGUUCAAUCCCUGGUUGGGGAA